GAUGAAUGCUGGCGGCGUGCCUAAUACAUGCAAGUCGAGCGAACAGACGAGGAGCUUGCUCCUCUGACGUUAGCGGCGGACGGGUGAGUAACACGUGGAUAACCUACCUAUAAGACUGGGAUAACUUCGGGAAACCGGAGCUAAUACCGGAUAAUAUAUUGAACCGCAUGGUUCAAUAGUGAAAGACGGUUUUGCUGUCACUUAUAGAUGGAUCCGCGCCGCAUUAGCUAGUUGGUAAGGUAACGGCUUACCAAGGCAACGAUGCGUAGCCGACCUGAGAGGGUGAUCGGCCACACUGGAACUGAGACACGGUCCAGACUCCUACGGGAGGCAGCAGUAGGGAAUCUUCCGCAAUGGGCGAAAGCUUGACGGAGCAACGCCGCGUGAGUGAUGAAGGUCUUCGGAUCGUAAAACUCUGUUAUUAGGGAAGAACAAAUGUGUAAGUAACUAUGCACGUCUUGACGGUACCUAAUCAGAAAGCCACGGCUAACUACGUG
RNAcentral lists this ribosomal RNA (497 nucleotides) under uncultured bacterium. RNAcentral's name for it is "partial 16S ribosomal RNA". It matches the Rfam family "Bacterial small subunit ribosomal RNA", at positions 28 to 507 of the family's 1533-position model. The record is from RNAcentral.